CCUACGGGAGGCAGCAGUGGGGAAUAUUGCACAAUGGGGGAAACCCUGAUGCAGCGACGCCGCGUGAGUGAAGAAGUAUUUCGGUAUGUAAAGCUCUAUCAGCAGGGAAGAAAAUGACGGUACCUGAUUAAGAAGCCCCGGCUAACUACGUGCCAGCAGCCGCGGUCAUACGUAGGGGGCAAGCGUUAUCCGGAUUUACUGGGUGUAAAGGGAGCGUAGACGGCAGCGCAAGUCUGAAGUGAAAUGCCGGGGCUUAACCCCGGAACUGCUUUGGAAACUGUGCAGCUAGAGUGCAGGAGAGGUAAGUGGAAUUCCUAGUGUAGCGGUGAAAUGCGUAGAUAUUAGGAGGAACACCAGUGGCGAAGGCGGCUUACUGGACUGUAACUGACGUUGAGGCUCGAAAGCGUGGGGAGCAAACAGGAUUAGAUACCCCAGUAGUC
RNAcentral lists this ribosomal RNA (440 nucleotides) under uncultured bacterium. Its description in RNAcentral is "partial 16S ribosomal RNA". It matches the Rfam family "Bacterial small subunit ribosomal RNA", at positions 338 to 795 of the family's 1533-position model. The record is from RNAcentral.